UACGGAGGGUGCAAGCGUUGUCCGGAUUUAUUGGGUUUAAAGGGUGCGUAGGCGGAUUAUUAAGUCAGUGGUGAAAGUUUGCGGCUCAACCGUAAAAGUGCCAUUGAUACUGGUAGUCUUGAGUACAGUAGAGGUAGGCGGAAUUUAUGGUGUAGCGGUGAAAUGCAUAGAUACCAUAAAGAACACCGAUAGCGAAGGCAGCUUACUAUGCUGUAACUGACGCUGAGGCACGAAAGCGUGGGGAGCGAACAGG
This 253-nucleotide ribosomal RNA is filed under the name uncultured bacterium. Its description in RNAcentral is "partial 16S ribosomal RNA". It matches the Rfam family "Bacterial small subunit ribosomal RNA", at positions 524 to 776 of the family's 1533-position model. The record is from RNAcentral.